RNAcentral lists this transfer RNA (85 nucleotides) under Methanoregula sp. RNAcentral describes it as "tRNA-Leu". It matches the Rfam family "tRNA". Rfam says of the family: Transfer RNA (tRNA) molecules are approximately 80 nucleotides in length. Their secondary structure includes four short double-helical elements and three loops (D, anti-codon, and T loops). The record is from RNAcentral. Lineage: Archaea; Methanobacteriati; Methanobacteriota; Methanomicrobia; Methanomicrobiales; Methanoregulaceae.
GCGAGGGUAACUAAGCCUGGUCAACAGUGACGGACUCAAGAUCCGUUCCCGAAGGGGUUCGCGGGUUCAAAUCCCUCCCCUCGCA